UGGGGAAUAUUGCACAAUGGGCGCAAGCCUGAUGCAGCCAUGCCGCGUGUAUGAAGAAGGCCUUCGGGUUGUAAAGUACUUUCAGUCGGGAGGAAGGUGGUAAGGUUAAUAACCUUAUCAAUUGACGUUACCGACAGAAGAAGCACCGGCUAACUCCGUGCCAGCAGCCGCGGUAAUACGGAGGGUGCAAGCGUUAAUCGGAAUUACUGGGCGUAAAGCGCACGCAGGCGGUUUGUUAAGUCAGAUGUGAAAUCCCCGGGCUCAACCUGGGAACUGCAUCUGAUACUGGCAAGCUUGAGUCUCGUAGAGGGAGGUAGAAUUCCAGGUGUAGCGGUGAAAUGCGUAGAGAUCUGGAGGAAUACCGGUGGCGAAGGCGGCCCCCUGGACGAAGACUGACGCUCAGGUGCGAAAGCGUGGGGAGCAAACAGG
Molecule: ribosomal RNA, 429 nt
Filed under: Chloroflexota bacterium
Lineage: Bacteria; Bacillati; Chloroflexota
Description: Chloroflexi bacterium partial 16S ribosomal RNA
Rfam family: Bacterial small subunit ribosomal RNA
Source: RNAcentral